AUGAUUGAUGUUGCUAAUAAAGUGUGUGUCUCUGAUGAUAGUGAUAAGAUCAAAUGGGCCUUGGGCUCUAAAUCCUACUUUACUACUAGGUCAAUUUACUCUUUCUUGGAAUAUAAUAUAUGUGAAAAUGACUAUCAUUGGAUAUGGAAGGCAUGUAUGCCUUUGAAGAUACAAAUCUUCAUGUGGCAGCUGUCGCAGAACGCGGUUUUGACUAGGGAUGUAAUGAAGAAAAGGGGGUGGAAAAAGAACCCUAGUUGCUCCUUUUGUGCAGAGAAAGAGACUUCUCAGCACCUUUUCUUUACUUGCCCAAUAGCCAGGGUGACCUGGAGGGCUGUGGCAUGCAUGUUUGGGACUGAUCUAUGCCUGAACAAUCUUUGGCAAGCCUAUUCGUGGUGCCAUUCCUUCUUCCCAGAAGGAGAGGUGUUCCAUACUAUUGGCAUUGCUACUGUCUGCUGGGCUAUUUGGACCUGUCGUAAUAGAGCUACAUUUGAGUUUAUAUCUCUGCUAAAUCCUUUUGAAUGCACAUUUUCUGCUUGUGCUCUCUUGUGUUAUUGGGCAGGGUUGAUGAAAACACAGAAGGAUUCAGAUGACCUGAAAACUGGAGCCACUAUGCUGAAGGAAAGCGCUUCAAGACUGAUGCAGACAUGUGCCACGGCGUACCACGAUGAUGGAGCUCGCUGA
RNAcentral lists this ribosomal RNA (681 nucleotides) under Triticum aestivum (bread wheat). RNAcentral's name for it is "partial small subunit ribosomal RNA". The record is from RNAcentral. Lineage: Eukaryota; Viridiplantae; Streptophyta; Magnoliopsida; Poales; Poaceae.